RNAcentral lists this ribosomal RNA (340 nucleotides) under uncultured Bacillota bacterium. RNAcentral describes it as "bacterial SSU rRNA". It matches the Rfam family "Bacterial small subunit ribosomal RNA", at positions 28 to 351 of the family's 1533-position model. The record is from RNAcentral. Lineage: Bacteria; Bacillati; Bacillota.
GACGAACGCUGGCGGCGUGCCUAAUACAUGCAAGUCGAACGAAUCUUGAUUAGGAGCUUGCUUCUAAUCAAGGUUAGUGGCGGACGGGUGAGUAACACGUAGGCAACCUGCCCACAAGAUCGGGAUAACAUUCGGAAACGAAUGCUAAGACCGGAUAAACAAGUUUGCCGCAUGGUGGGCUUGGGGAAACACGGAGCAAUCUGUGGCUUGCGGAUGGGCCUGCGGCGCAUUAGCUAGUUGGUGGGGUAAUGGCCCACCAAGGCGACGAUGCGUAGCCGACCUGAGAGGGUGAACGGCCACACUGGGACUGAGACACGGCCCAGACUCCUACGGGAGGCUG